CAUCAGUAUCAACCUUUUUUCACGAGAGCGUGAAAAAUCCAUUUAAAAAAGCGCUCGACGCCAUCAAAGCUUGGUUUUUUUCCUCUCCCAUCUUCCGCAAUUCUCAUCAGCACUAUAAAUACGCGGCUUCGUAAUUGAAAAUUUUGCUUUUAGGGUUUAGAUGUGCUACAAGGCAUACCGCAAAAGCCAUUUCAUUUUCACCAUGCGGGUACUUUUUGUUAUCUGCAGCCUGUACUUGAUAGGUGCUGUGGUCAGUAAAACGCCUACUCGUGAAUCUCCUGACAGAUCGUCCUCAAGAUCUCCUUCAAGGCCCGACUCAAAAUCUGCAAAACGCUCUAUUUCUUCAAAAAGCAGCCGCUUCCUGUCAGUGAUGUCGGGUGGAAUAAAAUCUCUCUCAAAAAGUAAUAGAUGGCUCAGCUUUGGUUCGUUCAAGGAAGAUCCUUCGAAAGCAGUUCGAAAAGCACUAAGAGGUGAUCAUUUGGAUAGAAGUCCAAGUGAUAUGAGUUUUUCCUCAGAUAUCGCCAGGAUACUCCCACCAGCCCUGAAUCACAGCGUCAGGUAUUCCGCACCGGUAAGUAAUCCAUUUUGCAAUGACGAACCACUAUUUCUGACUCAUUUUAAAACAACAUAUAUGUCAUUGGUUUCCCCAUGCAGAAAGGUGCUUUUGUGGAGGAACCAGAGAUAGUGGAUCCUUAUGGCAAAAUGUAAUCCAGUUCAUCCAUUUUGCGUAGGCGGUCAGUCAGGUCGUUCAGUGCAUUUAUUUGAAUAUGUGCCCAAACAGUGACAAUCACUUACCUCACAUGAGACAGAGGCUUUACACGGAUUCUUAAUCGUUGGGAUAUUUACGCAGUAAUGGUUUUAAAGCGAGGAGUCGAGGACAAACUUAAUUUUGAUCGUAAAAAGGAGGAUAUCAAAACACUACUCAAGGACGCCUGAAAACCAAUGACUUAAACUUUUUAGGAAUUGAAAAGAAAGAAGACGAAGGAAAGAGGAAAGGUAGCACUGAAAAAUGAGAUAAAGAAGGAAACAAUGUACGAAUGAAUUUGUAUUGAAAGAACCUGUGAAGUACGCACAUUCCAUGCACAUAGUCUCUUUUAAUUAAAUUCAUUUGCUCAUAAUCCCGUUUAGCAUAAAUUCGUUUAAAAAUACUCGUGUGUCUACAGAGAGAUGAAAAGUGCAAAUACCUUCAUGCAAUGCAACUGUAAGGUUCGUAAAACUCAUGUAAUCGAACACUUUUAUAGGGUAUGUAUUUAAAGGAAGAUCUUUGAAAGACAGGAAGGGAUGAAAAUCGGAAGCACUGAUAGAGCGGUGCAAUUGUGUAUUUAACAUAAUAAAAGAAGGGUUUCCACAGAUUUAUUACAUGCAAU
Molecule: long non-coding RNA, 1367 nt
Filed under: Bemisia tabaci
Lineage: Eukaryota; Metazoa; Arthropoda; Insecta; Hemiptera; Aleyrodidae
Description: lncRNA ENSSSA1UGG010789
Source: RNAcentral